This 75-nucleotide antisense RNA is filed under the name Streptomyces sp. CB01580. RNAcentral's name for it is "ASpks TB sRNA". It matches the Rfam family "ASpks TB sRNA". The record is from Rfam by way of RNAcentral. Lineage: Bacteria; Bacillati; Actinomycetota; Actinomycetes; Kitasatosporales; Streptomycetaceae.
CUUGACGGAGCCGAGCCAGAGGGGUGCGUCGUCCGGCCGGUCCUGGCCGUACGUGGCCAGCAACGCCUGUGCCUC